This is a long non-coding RNA of Mya arenaria, 355 nucleotides long. RefSeq lists it as uncharacterized. The record is from RefSeq and is a predicted model, not a curated record. Lineage: Eukaryota; Metazoa; Mollusca; Bivalvia; Myida; Myidae. The transcript has 3 exons.
GAUGCCAAGUGUACAAUAAAAACUGAAAUGAAAAUUGCCAACAGAAGUGUCAUGGUCUUGGUGGAAAAUGCUGUGUUCUUCAUUGACAUCUGUUUAAUAAUGGCUGGUGAUAGAAAACUAUCAGGAAUGCUUCAAGCUGGCAAUGGAGGGAAAUGUAAAAGACACUGAGAUAUCACAAGGUUUCAAAGAUCUAGAAUAUGCUCACAGUCAGUCUUCCAGAUACUCACCUUAAAGGUUCCAGUGUGUUUUAGGAGACUUUGUCAGAACAGUACUUUAUACCUACAUACACUGGAGAUACCAGACCAAGCAGAUAAUUACAGAUAUAUUGACACAGAAUCUGAAAUUAAUUGCAUAU